Molecule: ribosomal RNA, 305 nt
Filed under: uncultured bacterium
Lineage: Bacteria
Description: bacterial SSU rRNA
Rfam family: Bacterial small subunit ribosomal RNA
Source: RNAcentral
UUCCUACGGGGCGCAGCAGUGGGGGAUAUUGCACAAUGGGGGAAACCCUGAUGCAGCGACGCCGCGUGAGCGAUGAAGUAUUUCGGUAUGUAAAGCUCUAUCAGCAGGGAAGAAAAUGACGGUACCUGACUAAGAAGCCCCGGUUAACUACGUGCCAGCAGCCGCGGUAAUACGUAGGGGGCAAGCGUUAUCCGGAUUUACUGGGUGUAAAGGGAGCGUAGACGGUAUGGCAAGUCUGAAGUGAAAGCCCAGGGCUUAACCCUGGGACUGCUUUGGAAACUGUUAGACUAGAGUGCUGGAGAGGG